RNAcentral lists this ribosomal RNA (441 nucleotides) under uncultured bacterium. RNAcentral's name for it is "partial 16S ribosomal RNA". It matches the Rfam family "Bacterial small subunit ribosomal RNA", at positions 338 to 795 of the family's 1533-position model. The record is from RNAcentral.
CCUACGGGAGGCAGCAGUGGGGAAUAUUGCACAAUGGGGGGAACCCUGAUGCAGCGACGCCGCGUGAGCGAGGAAGUAUUUCGGUAUGUAAAGCUCUAUCAGCAGGGGCGAAAAAAGACGGUACCGGACUAAGAAGCCCCGGCUAACUACGUGCCAGCAGGCGCGGUAAUACGUAGGGGGCAAGCGUUAUCCGGAUUUACUGGGUGUAAAGGGAGCGUAGACGGCAAUGUAAGACAGAUGUGAAAGGGCAGGGCUCAACCCUGUACAUGCGUUUGGAACUGUCGUUCUAGAGUGCAGGAGAGGUAAGUGGAAUUCCUAGUGUAGCGGUGAAAUGCUUAGAUAUUAGGAGGAACACCAGUUGCGAAGGCGGCUUACUGGACUGUAACUGACGUUGAGGCUCGAAAGCGUGGGGAGCAAACAGGAUUAGAUACCCUGGUAGUC